AACUUCUCAACCACAUUCGUUCAUUGAUUGUGGCUUGGAUGGUGGGGGUUUAUUUGCAGGCUUCUUCUGUGAAAACAGAAAGGUCGGCUCCCCUGAAAUGUAUCAGUGGUAUCUGAGGCUAUUGCUAUAGGUGUGAUAAUUAUCUAUGCCCUUGGUAUGCCGCAUGGAACUGCUUCCAACAGAGAUGAUCUUUUUGAUGA
This 200-nucleotide unclassified non-coding RNA is filed under the name uncultured Inocybe. RNAcentral's name for it is "sequence contains ITS2". Lineage: Eukaryota; Fungi; Basidiomycota; Agaricomycetes; Agaricales; Cortinariaceae. The record is from RNAcentral.